Molecule: transfer RNA, 77 nt
Filed under: Candidatus Saccharimonadota bacterium
Lineage: Bacteria; Candidatus Saccharimonadota
Also listed under: 2 other names
Description: tRNA-Lys
Rfam family: tRNA
About the family: Transfer RNA (tRNA) molecules are approximately 80 nucleotides in length. Their secondary structure includes four short double-helical elements and three loops (D, anti-codon, and T loops). Further hydrogen bonds mediate the characteristic L-shaped molecular structure. tRNAs have two regions of fundamental functional importance: the anti-codon, which is responsible for specific mRNA codon recognition, and the 3' end, to which the tRNAs corresponding amino acid is attached (by aminoacyl-tRNA synthetases). tRNAs cope with the degeneracy of the genetic code in two manners: having more than one tRNA (with a specific anti-codon) for a particular amino acid; and 'wobble' base-pairing, i.e. permitting non-standard base-pairing at the 3rd anti-codon position.
Source: RNAcentral
GGGCCAUUAGCUCAGCUGGUUAGAGCACAGGCCUUUUAAGCCUGGUGUCCUGGGUUCGAGUCCCAGAUGGCCCUCCA